UGACCGCUGGCGGCGUGCCUACUACAUGCAAGUCGAGCGACCGGACGAGAAGCUUGCUUCUCUGAUGUUAGCGGCGGACGGGUGAGUAACACGUGGAUAACCUACCUAUAAGACUGGGAUAACUUCGGGAAACCGUAGCUAAUACCGGAUAAUAUUUUGAACCGCAUGGUUCCAAAGUGAAAGACGGUCUUGCUGUCACUUAUAGAUGGAUCCGCGCUGCAUUAGCUAGUUGGUAAGGUAACGGCUUACCAAGGCAACGAUGCAUAGCCGACCUGAGAGGGUGAUCGGCCACACUGGAACUGAGACACGGUCCAGACUCCUACGGGAGGCAGCAGUAGGGAAUCUUCCGCAAUGGGCGAAAGCCUGACGGAGCAACGCCGCGUGAGUGAUGAAGGUCUUCGGAUCGUAAAACUCUGUUAUUAGGGAAGAACAUAUGUGUAAGUAACUGUGCACAUCUUGACGGUACCUAAUCAGAAAGCCACGGCUAACUACGUG
Molecule: ribosomal RNA, 495 nt
Filed under: uncultured bacterium
Lineage: Bacteria
Description: partial 16S ribosomal RNA
Rfam family: Bacterial small subunit ribosomal RNA
Source: RNAcentral